UUGAACGCUGGCGGCAGGCCUCACACAUGCAAGUCGAGCGGAUGAAGGGAGCUUGCUCCUGGAUUCAGCGGCGGACGGGUGAGUAAUGCCUAGGAAUCUGCCUGGUAGUGGGGGAUAGCGUCCGGAAACGGGCGCUAAUACCGCAUACGUCCUGAGGGAGAAAGUGGGGGAUCUUCGGACCUCACGCUAUCAGAUGAGCCUAGGUCGGAUUAGCUAGUUGGUGGGGUAAAGGCCUACCAAGGCGACGAUCCGUAACUGGUCUGAGAGGAUGAUCAGUCACACUGGAACUGAGACACGGUCCAGACUCCUACGGGAGGCAGCAGUGGGGAAUAUUGGACAAUGGGCGAAAGCCUGAUCCAGCCAUGCCGCGUGUGUGAAGAAGGUCUUCGGAUUGUAAAGCACUUUAAGUUGGGAGGAAGGGCAGUAAGUUAAUACCUUGCUGUUUUGACGUUACCAACAGAAUAAGCACCGGCUAACUUCGUG
This 483-nucleotide ribosomal RNA is filed under the name uncultured bacterium. RNAcentral describes it as "partial 16S ribosomal RNA". It matches the Rfam family "Bacterial small subunit ribosomal RNA", at positions 30 to 507 of the family's 1533-position model. The record is from RNAcentral.